RNAcentral lists this long non-coding RNA (337 nucleotides) under Rattus norvegicus (Norway rat). RNAcentral describes it as "long non-coding RNA NONRATT005398". Lineage: Eukaryota; Metazoa; Chordata; Mammalia; Rodentia; Muridae. The record is from RNAcentral.
CACUCUUUCUCCUUCCCUCUCUCUUCACUCCUCCUGUCUCCCCCCUCUGCCAACACUCUUCUCAUAGCCCUCUAUUCUGCUGCCCAUAUUCAGUCCGGACUCUUCCAGAUGCUUCUGCCUGUGCUCUCCCUCAUAUCUACAAUAAAAACCUCUUCAACCAUAUCCGAGAGCAGUCGUGUCCUCGUUUUCAUUCAAAUGACACCUACAUGUUCCCUUUUAAUUCUGUGUCCUCGGAAGUGUUCACAUCCAGAAUGUACAUUAUCAACAAGAAGGGCAAAACCUCCCACACAAAAAUUAAGAUUGAGCAAGUGGGUUGCAAAAAUAAACAAAACAAAAA